UUCAACUUGACGGGACACUGUAUCAUCUGAUGUGUCUGAAGUAUAAUUCUGUAUACGACUGAUGGAAUGUCCGCUACCAAUUUUUUUUUCAUGUUUAUCAAUGAUUAUGUAUCUCUUCUUUUGAAAGGCUUCCUAAGACAAAGUGCAGUUAAAGGUACCCGGAUCCAGCUGUUGAGGGAGUCCCAAAUUAAGCAGUGUUGUUAUUUUUUUGGACGCAUGAAUCAUGACAUGGGGGAAUUACCAGUCCGCUGGGCCCUUUGUCUUGCUUCAAUAACAAAUCUCACCAGAUUGGGUCUGCUGGAUGGUCAGGAUUUCUCCCUAAGGAUUAGCCCUCUAACUCCCUGACCCUGUAACUCUGCAGUGAGAUCACCAACCCCCUGACCUGUAACUCUGCAGUGAGAUCGCCAACAUGAUAGGGGAGUAUAAGCCAAUUUGGGAGAAAAACAAUGGUUUCAACUGUGUGUUGUUAUUCUCUUUGACAUUUGUUUUAGAAAUCUGUAUUAAGAAUAUUGGUAGUAGUAAUAAUUUGUC
Coregonus clupeaformis (lake whitefish) is the source of this 531-nucleotide long non-coding RNA. RefSeq lists it as uncharacterized. The transcript is spliced from 3 exons. The record is from RefSeq and is a predicted model, not a curated record. Lineage: Eukaryota; Metazoa; Chordata; Actinopteri; Salmoniformes; Salmonidae.